Molecule: ribosomal RNA, 870 nt
Filed under: uncultured bacterium
Lineage: Bacteria
Description: bacterial SSU rRNA
Rfam family: Bacterial small subunit ribosomal RNA
Source: RNAcentral
GAUGAACGCUAGCGACAGGCCUAACACCUGCAAGUCGAGGGGCAGCACAGGUAGCAAUACUUGGUGGCGACCGGCGCACGGGUGAGUAACGCGUAUGCAACCUACCUGUAACAGGGGAAUAGCUCCCUGAAAGGGGAAUUAAAACCGCAUAAGACCACACUAUCGCAUGGUAGAGUGGUAAAAUAUUUAUAGGUUACAGAUGGGCAUGCGUGACAUUAGCCAGUUGGUGAGGUAACGGCUCACCAAAGCUACGAUGUCUAGGGGUUCUGAGAGGAAGGUCCCCCACACUGGUACUGAGACACGGACCAGACUCCUACGGGGGGCAGCAGUGAGGAAUAUUGGUCAAUGGGCGCAAGCCUGAACCAGCCAUGUCGCGUGCAGGACGACUGCCCUACGGGUUGUAAACUGCUUUUGUACGGGAAGAAAUAUAUCUACGAGUAGAUAUUUGCCGGUACCGUACGAAUAAGGAUCGGCUAACUCCGUGCCAGCAGCCGCGGUAAUACGGAGGAUCCGAGCGUUAUCCGGAUUUAUUGGGUUUAAAGGGUGCGUAGGCGGAAUGGUAAGUCAGUGGUGAAAUACUGCAGCUUAACUGUAGCAUUGCCAUUGAUACUGUCAUUCUUGAGUACAGUUGAGGUAGGCGGAAUGUGGUGUGUAGCGGUGAAAUGCUUAGAUAUACCACAGAACACCGAUUGCGAAGGCAGCUUACUAAACUGACACUGACGCUGAAGCACGAAAGCGUGGGGAUCAAACAGGAUUAGAUACCCUGGUAGUCCACGCCGUAAGCGAUGAUUACUGGUUGUUUGCGAUACACAGCCAAGUGACUGAGCGAAAGCAUUAAGUCAUCCACCUGGAGAGUACGUCGGCAACGAA